AUUGAACGCUGGCGGCGUGCUUAACACAUGCAAGUCGAUCGGUAACAGGUGUAGCAAUACAUGCUGACGAGAGGCGGACGGGUGAGUAAUGCUUGGGAAUCUGCCUAUUAGUGGGGGGACAACCCGGGGAAACUCGGGCUAAUACCGCAUACGCUCUACGGAGGAAAGCCGGGGACCGCAAGGCCUGGCGCUAAUAGAUGAGCCCAAGUCGGAUUAGCUAGUUGGUAGGGUAACGGCCUACCAAGGCGACAAUCCGUAGCUGGUCUGAGAGGACGACCAGCCACACCGGAACUGAGACACGGUCCGGACUCCUACGGGAGGCAGCAGUGGGGAAUAUUGGACAAUGGGGGCAACCCUGAUCCAGCGACGCCGCGUGGGUGAAGAAGGCCUGCGGGUUGUAAAGCCCUUUCGGUGGGGAAGAAAGCCGAGUGCUAAUAUCACUCGGUCUUGACGUUUACUUACAGAAGAAGCACCGGCUAACUCCGUGCC
RNAcentral lists this ribosomal RNA (489 nucleotides) under uncultured bacterium. RNAcentral describes it as "bacterial SSU rRNA". It matches the Rfam family "Bacterial small subunit ribosomal RNA", at positions 30 to 509 of the family's 1533-position model. The record is from RNAcentral.